UUCUGUAAGCCUGUGAAGGUGUGCUGUGAGGCAUGCUGGAGGUAUCAGAAGUGCGAAUGCUGACAUAAGUAACGAUAAAGCGGGUGAAAAGCCCGCUCGCCGGAAGACCAAGGGUUCCUGUCCAACGUUAAUCGGGGCAGGGUGAGUCGACCCCUAAGGCGAGGCCGAAAGGCGUAGUCGAUGGGAAACAGGUUAAUAUUCCUGUACCAGGUGUUACUGCGAAGGGGGGACGGAGAAGGCUAUGUUGGCCGGGCGACGGUUGUCCCGGUUUAAGCGUGUAGGUGUGUGUUCCAGGUAAAUCCGGUUCACUUUAACACUGAGGCGUGAUGACGAGGCACUACGGUGCUGAAGCAACAAAUGCCCUGCUUCCAGGAAAAGCCUCUAAGCAUCAGGUAACAUCAGAUCGUACCCCAAACCGACACAGGUGGUCAGGUAGAGAAUACCAAGGCGCUUGAGAGAACUCGGGUGAAGGAACUAGGCAAAAUGGUGCCGUAACU
RNAcentral lists this ribosomal RNA (497 nucleotides) under Citrobacter amalonaticus. Its description in RNAcentral is "partial 23S ribosomal RNA". It matches the Rfam family "Bacterial large subunit ribosomal RNA", at positions 1239 to 1735 of the family's 2925-position model. The record is from RNAcentral. Lineage: Bacteria; Pseudomonadati; Pseudomonadota; Gammaproteobacteria; Enterobacterales; Enterobacteriaceae.